ACGAACGCUGGCGGCGUGCCUAAUACCUGCAAGUCGAACGCAUUUUCUUUCACCGUAGCUUGCUACACCGAAAGAAAAUGAGUGGCGAACGGGUGAGUAACACGUGGGUAACCUGCCCAUCAGCGGGGGAUAACACUUGGAAACAGGUGCUAAUACCGCAUAAUUCCAUUUACCGCAUGGUAGAUGGAUGAAAGGCGCUUUUGCGUCACUGAUGGAUGGACCCGCGGUGCAUUAGCUAGUUGGUGGGGUAACGGCCUACCAAGGCUGCGAUGCAUAGCCGACCUGAGAGGGUGAUCGGCCACACUGGGACUGAGACACGGCCCAGACUCCUACGGGGGGCAGCAGUAGGGAAUCUUCGGCAAUGGACACAAGUCUGACCGAGCAACGCCGCGUGAGUGAAGAAGGUUUUCGGAUCGUAAAACUCUGUUGUUAGAGAAGAACAAGGAUGAGAGUGGAAAGUUCAUCCCUUGACGGUAUCUAACCAGAAAGCCACGGCUAACUACGUG
RNAcentral lists this ribosomal RNA (506 nucleotides) under uncultured bacterium. RNAcentral's name for it is "partial 16S ribosomal RNA". It matches the Rfam family "Bacterial small subunit ribosomal RNA", at positions 29 to 507 of the family's 1533-position model. The record is from RNAcentral.